UAUUGAGAUGCGAUUGAUACAUAACAUUGUGUUAGCUUAAGGUGUGUACUACCCUCGUGUUGAGUUUGAAAUAUUAACACGUCGGCACCUUGCAUUUGAAUAAUGUUGUCUAUGUUUUUAUCUUACUGAUACUAUGGGGUUGACAAGCACAUACCUUUCACUCUGUAGAUGAGGAAACUGAGACACAGAAAGAGGAAACUGAUCAUCCGCUUGUUCCCAGUCCUGGUCCAGUAUGCCCACAGGCAUCUGAAGGUCUCUGAAGGUCUCACCAGCCUCUGUGGUUGGUCACCUCGUCCUUCCAUGGGCAGAGUGAGUGGACUCGGAUUCCCGCUGUGAUCCUGUCUGGAAGGAGACAAACCCUUCAUCCAGCUCAGGGCCAGGAGUGCAUUGCAGCGCUGAGGACCAUAUGAGACAGUGAACAGGAGAGGCCCAGACUUGCUGCUCUUGCCUCAGUACCCCCCCCACGGUGGUCCUGGGCCCGCGGCAGAGAACUGAGCUCGUCUGGUAGUAAAUACUGUGAAUUGGCCGAUGCGGCUAGCCAUCCUCUAGUACGAAUGACUCAGUUUAUUAAUGCUCUGCACAAGAUGGCUCCUUCACUUGCCAGCAGCCUUAAGCAGUAUUUCAUUAAAACUGGCUUAAUUAUUUUUAAAAGACGGCCCAAUUAAAAGCUAUACAUACUUUGUAUGUGUGUGUUUAUAUAUAGAGCUGUAUAUAUAAUAUAUAUUUCUAAGCCUGUGUAUGUGUUAUAUAUAUAUAUAUAUAUAUAUAUAUAUAUACUUAGCAAUUUAAUUAUAUGGCAUAAAUUGUUGGAAAAAUACCCGGGAGCUGGCCCCCUUUCUGUUGCUAGAUUCAGACUAGAGGCCACCCUGUGAGGGGGUGGCGUUGGUGGCUUCUCAAUGACUCCACAGUGGAAGUCCCAGCUGCGCAGAGAGCCCUGCCCCAGCGUCAGGGCCCCAAAGCUUUGGGAGAGGCAGGUUCUGACCUCCGCUCUCCUCUUGGGAUGCUCCUUUCCUGUCCCAACAGCACAGAGGGGCUUGAGCUGGGGAAUGCUGGGGGAAGGUGUCCUUGCCAAAAGAGACAUGGAGUUGGGGCUUUUGUUUCUGGAGCUGGCUGUCGAGCUCUCCUAAUGAGCAAAUAUGUUCUCUUUAAGGAAACAAACAAACAAAGCAAAAACACUAAUUCAUCUGGAUUUUAUUCAUUUGUUUUAAAUACAAACAAACAAAAGGAGAGGGGAGAAGUGGUUAUUUCUGCACCAACUAUUUCAAAUGCAAGUUCCUCUGUCGCUCGGGGUGUUUGGAUGGUGCUUGUCACCAUAGGACCCACAGGGCUAGUUCCAGCCGUUAUUCGGUAAGGCUUUUUUUCUUUCCAAAAUUCCCAGCGUUCCUUUAAGGCCCAUUUAGCUGCGGGUUUUGUUUAUUCUCCCGGCAAUCAGCAUUUAAAAUAAGACAAACAAGCAUUUUUUCCUGGGCUGUGAAUCCCUGCUGGCCUGCCUCCACCCGCACACCUGAAGCCAAUGUGUCCAAUUGAAUUUCUUCGUAACCCGCAUCCCCUUCGGAGACCUGCCCCCUCCGUAUACCAACGUGGAAAUAGAGAACUUAAGCAGGGCAAAUGUAAUUUUAAGAAUUGCUAAUGAUGCUGGAAAUCUGCAAUGCAAUUAGCAUCAUUGGAUUUGUCGCUCCUCCGCUCCUCCGAAGGCACGGUCCUCGUCAUACCGCUGUGGCAGCGGCGCCUCCGCGUGGGCCUGGGCGCCCCGGGUAUGCUGGCAGCGCUUAUGCACCAAAAUAUGAACAUUUGGUUAGGCUUCCUCUCUUUCUCUCUCUCAGCAACUGACUUCUUUGUCUCCUUCCUUGGUUGCAGGGGGAUGGAUUGUUUUCCAUUGGUUAUAUCCUUAGCAUUCAGUCCUCAGGGGACUCACUCACUCUGUUUUCUAAGUAAGUGGGACCCCCUCUUUGUGACCUCAUUUUGCCGUCUUGGAUUUUAGGGCUUCCCUUCACCAGCGUUCCCCCUAUGCUGGAACCCCAGUAAUUCUUGGUGCCUCAGCAGUGGUGAAAGCCACCCCCCCCCCCCCCCCCCCAUUACUCACCCUACGUUAUACUUUCCUUUCUAUACUUUCCUUUCUCUCUCUCUCUUUUAUCUUCUCUAACUUCCAUUUCUUUACUACCCUCUAUGGCUCAGAAGUAGUAUGAAGGAGAGUUAAAAAUAGGGAGAUGGAGGGAGCCAGAGGGAGAGAGAGAGUGAGAAAGCAGAAAAAGAGAAAACGAAUUAUUGGAUUCAAAAUAAACCUUUAUUUUUUCAUAGGCGAAUUAUUUUUGCUCCUUGAAAAAACUAACAUGGGCCAGGCACGGAAAACCAUGUGAUAGCUGGGUAAGCCGUUGCAGAAUCCAGAAGAUGAUCUUAAGGUGUCUGUUCAGUUUAGCAAAGGUUUCUACUCUGGGGAUCCUCUUUCAGAUCCAGGGGCCCAAAUCAGAAGCUUGUAGAGGGGAGCUAUUCUUCCAAGAUUCCAGAUGUGUCUGCGAGACAACACGUUAUGGGGCAAAUUGAUUUCACCCUUGGGAAACUGGAGAUUUUUCAAAGUUAUGUCUGCAAAGCCAGCUAAUGCAUUUCCCCAUUAGUGCAUUAAAGUGUGCCCUUAUUAAUUCAAACAUAAAGGCAACAAAAUAAGCUGUUAAAUUUAAAAUAUAAUACAUAUAUAAUGAGGAGAAUGUGUGAAAGCCUUAUUCAAAUGAAAAUACAGGAGUGUUUGAACUACUGAGGUAUCUUUUGUAUUGAAUUAUGAGCAUAUGUAAUAGAUUUAAUUAUUAAUUUCCCCAUUGUUCUAUGCACACAGACAGGGUUCAAGGCACAGUCAUUCUCUGGCUUUCAUAGAUCUAAUUUGUAUAAUUAUUGCCUGAAUAAAGAAUUGCUCCAA
RNAcentral lists this long non-coding RNA (2908 nucleotides) under Lynx pardinus (Iberian lynx). The record is from RNAcentral. Lineage: Eukaryota; Metazoa; Chordata; Mammalia; Carnivora; Felidae.